Molecule: ribosomal RNA, 232 nt
Filed under: uncultured bacterium
Lineage: Bacteria
Description: partial 16S ribosomal RNA
Rfam family: Bacterial small subunit ribosomal RNA
Source: RNAcentral
CGGACGGGUGAGUAAUGUCUGGGAAACUGCCCGAUGGAGGGGGAUAACUACUGGAAACGGUAGCUAAUACCGCAUAACGUCGCAAGACCAAAGAGGGGGACCUUCGGGCCUCUUGCCGUCGGAUGUGCCCAGAUGGGAUUAGCUAGUAGGUGGGGUAAUGGCUCACCUAGGCGACGAUCCCUAGCUGGUCUGAGAGGAUGACCAGCCACACUGGAACUGAGACACGGUCCAG